This 551-nucleotide ribosomal RNA is filed under the name uncultured Bacilli bacterium. RNAcentral's name for it is "bacterial SSU rRNA". It matches the Rfam family "Bacterial small subunit ribosomal RNA", at positions 79 to 617 of the family's 1533-position model. Lineage: Bacteria; Bacillati; Bacillota; Bacilli. The record is from RNAcentral.
UGCACCGAGCGGAGGAGUUGCGAACGGGUGAGUAACGCGUAGGUAACCUGCCUCUUAGCGGGGGAUAACUAUUGGAAACGAUAGCUAAUACCGCAUAAAAGUCGACAUUGCAUGAUGUUGACUUGAAAGGUGCAACUGCAUCACUAAGAGAUGGACCUGCGUUGUAUUAGCUAGUUGGUGAGGUAACGGCUCACCAAGGCGACGAUACAUAGCCGACCUGAGAGGGUGAUCGGCCACACUGGGACUGAGACACGGCCCAGACUCCUACGGGAGGCAGCAGUAGGGAAUCUUCGGCAAUGGACGGAAGUCUGACCGAGCAACGCCGCGUGAGUGAAGAAGGUUUUCGGAUCGUAAAGCUCUGUUGUAAGAGAAGAACGAGUGUGAGAGUGGAAAGUUCACACUGUGACGGUAACUUACCAGAAAGGGACGGCUAACUACGUGCCAGCAGCCGCGGUAAUACGUAGGUCCCGAGCGUUAUCCGGAUUUAUUGGGCGUAAAGCGAGCGCAGGCGGUUAGAUAAGUCUGAAGUUAAAGGCUGUGGCUUAACCAUA